UGAGGAAUAUUGCGCAAUGGACGAAAGUCUGACGCAGCCAUGCCGCGUGCAGGAUUGAAGGCCCUAUGGGUUGUAAACUGCUUUUAUAUGGGAAUAAACCUUUCCUCGUGAGGGAAGCUGAAGGUACCAUAAGAAUAAGCACCGGCUAACUCCGUGCCAGCAGCCGCGGUAAUACGGAGGGUGCAAGCGUUAUCCGGAUUUAUUGGGUUUAAAGGGUCCGUAGGCGGACCAUUAAGUCAGUGGUGAAAGCCCAUAGCUCAACUAUGGAAUUGCCAUUGAUACUGGUGGUCUUGAGUACAGUUGAAGUUGGCGGAAUGUGUGGUGUAGCGGUGAAAUGCUUAGAUAUCACACAGAACACCGAUUGCGAAGGCAGCUAACUAAGUUGUAACUGACGCUGAGGGACGAAAGUGUGGGGAUCAAACAGG
Molecule: ribosomal RNA, 425 nt
Filed under: uncultured Flavobacteriia bacterium
Lineage: Bacteria; Pseudomonadati; Bacteroidota; Flavobacteriia
Description: bacterial SSU rRNA
Rfam family: Bacterial small subunit ribosomal RNA
Source: RNAcentral